GACGAACGCUGGCGGCGUGCUUAACACAUGCAAGUCGAACGAAGAGCGAUGGACGCUUGCUUCUAUCAAUCUUAGUGGCGAACGGGUGAGUAACGCGUAAUCAACCUGCCCUUCAGAGGGGGACAACAGUUGGAAACGACUGCUAAUACCGCAUACGAUCUAAUCUCGGCAUCGAGGAUAGAUGAAAGGUGGCCUCUACAUGUAAGCUAUCACUGAAGGAGGGGAUUGCGUCUGAUUAGCUAGUUGGAGGGGUAACGGCCCACCAAGGCGAUGAUCGGUAGCCGGUCUGAGAGGAUGAACGGCCACAUUGGGACUGAGACACGGCCCAGACUCCUACGGGAGGCAGCAGUGGGGAAUCUUCCGCAAUGGACGAAAGUCUGACGGAGCAACGCCGCGUGAGUGAUGACGGCCUUCGGGUUGUAAAGCUCUGUUAAUCGGGACGAAAGGCCUUCUUGCGAAUAGUGAGAAGGAUUGACGGUACCGGAAUAGAAAGCCACGGCUAACUACGUG
RNAcentral lists this ribosomal RNA (510 nucleotides) under uncultured bacterium. RNAcentral's name for it is "partial 16S ribosomal RNA". It matches the Rfam family "Bacterial small subunit ribosomal RNA", at positions 28 to 507 of the family's 1533-position model. The record is from RNAcentral.